AGGCGGUCGGGUUCGGGGACCUGACCUUCUUCAGCAAGGUCGGGUACGGCGGCGGCGGUUCCUGUGCCACCGUCGCCCA
Molecule: transfer RNA, 79 nt
Filed under: Streptomyces avermitilis
Lineage: Bacteria; Bacillati; Actinomycetota; Actinomycetes; Kitasatosporales; Streptomycetaceae
Description: tRNA-SeC
Source: RNAcentral